RNAcentral lists this ribosomal RNA (421 nucleotides) under uncultured bacterium. RNAcentral's name for it is "bacterial SSU rRNA". It matches the Rfam family "Bacterial small subunit ribosomal RNA", at positions 506 to 927 of the family's 1533-position model. The record is from RNAcentral.
GGCCAGCAGCCGCGGUAAUACGUAGGGAGCGAGCGUUGUCCGGAAUUACUGGGCGUAAAGGGUGCGUAGGCGGCGAUGCAAGUCAGAUGUGAAAUCCCCGGGCUUAACUCGGGUUCUGCAUUUGAAACUGCAUUGCUUGAGUGCAGGAGAGGAAAGCGGAAUUCCUAGUGUAGCGGUGAAAUGCGUAGAUAUUAGGAAGAACACCAGUGGCGAAGGCGGCUUUCUGGACUGUAACUGACGCUGAGGCACGAAAGCGUGGGGAGCAAACAGGAUUAGAUACCCUGGUAGUCCACGCUGUAAACGAUGGAUACUAGGUGUGGGGGAGAUACAACCUCUGUGCCGGAGCAAACGCAAUAAGUAUCCCGCCUGGGGAGUACGGUCGCAAGACUGAAACUCAAAGGAAUUGACGGGGGCCCGCACA